CUUUCUCCCUCUUUUCCAAAGCCAUUCUCUUCCUUUGUCAUACCAUUUUCUUUCCUUAAUCAGUGUGUUUUUUUCUCCACUGCCUUUCUUUCCUUUUACUGCCCCCAUCCCAGUCUCCAUCCCUUCUCAUUGGUACCUGUCCCUUUUGUACAGGCGUAAAUGACUGCAUAAAGUGCACAGCUGUGGAGAAUCAAGCCUUCAGUUUCUGUCACUUCCUGAAUCAUUCUGUAACUUCCUUGGAGCCAUCCUGCUACUGGGAGGCCACAGGAAACUACAACCAAGCCUUCACUGGCUAUGGAGGUGAAUGUGACAGCAGCAUCCAGGAGCCCAACCCUGCCAUCAGAUGUUCAUGCUUGCAUGACCCAGUUUACAAAUAUCUAUAUAGGCAGCAGCGUAGUCUUCAUUUGUUCUGCCAUGCUGCGUACCAGGAGAAAAGUAAUCUGAUCUACACCUUGAAUGGAAACGGAAAACCAUAUAAAUGGGGAAAGCAUUGAAGAACCAUGAUUAUAUUGAAGACACUGCAAUAUAAAUACUGGUAAAGGUGUUCUAUUGCUAUUUAUCUUUACAUGGGUUGCUAGUAGUGAUCAUUUAUAGGUAAGGGUGAGUUCCAGUUUCUAUACUACUGCCGCUUUUUCCAAUUGGUUAUAACUUUCCUGAACUAACUUUUCUUUUCUCUUUCUGGUUCAAAAUUUUUCAGAUUGGUCUCCGCUGAAAAAUGAAUGUUUAUUUUGGGAAAAUUUAAACAAAAUUGUUCCAACGUUCAGUUAAAGGAAAGUAUAUUUUUUCCAUAUUUGCCUUUGAUUAACUUACACAUUUGAAUAGUUGGUGAUUUGGGGAGGAUGCAUUUGUAAAGAUACCAAAGUGUAGGGAAGGCCGUCAAUUAAGGAUAUCUUUAUUAAAGAAUCCAUUAGUUACAGCCACCUCACUUUAAGGUGUCAGGUAAAAGUGCACUGUGAGGUUUUUUUUUUUCAGCACUUGAGAAAAUCAACUACAAAAAUUAGCAUUGAUGUGAUGUUAAAGUCACAAAAUCAAGAACUCUCCAUAGGAAAUCUCAAAAGUUAAGGUUUUACCACAGUGUUAACUCAGUCACAUUAUUCAAAUAUAGUACUUUAUAUUGUAGUUUACCUUCUGAAUUGCAAACCUUAUCAUAUUACUAUGUAACCUAUAAUAUAUUUUACAGGAUAUACAAAGUUAUUACAGUGGUAGGAAACUUAAUGUUGGCUAUUUCCUUUAUAUGUGAAUGCUUGAUUUCUCAGCAUUAACUGUAAUUCU
Molecule: long non-coding RNA, 1272 nt
Filed under: Chrysemys picta bellii (western painted turtle)
Lineage: Eukaryota; Metazoa; Chordata; Testudines; Emydidae
Description: lncRNA (ENSCPBG00000013723.1)
Source: RNAcentral